AGGCAGCAGUUAGGAAUCUUCCGCAAUGGGCGCGAGCCUGACGGAGCGACGCCGCUUGGAGGAAGAAGCCCUUCGGGGUGUAAACUCCUGAACCCGGGACGAAACCCCCGACGAGGGGACUGACGGUACCGGGGUAAUAGCGCCGGCCAACUCCGUGCUAGCAGCCGCGGUAAUACGGAGGGCGCGAGCGUUACCCGGAUUCACUGGGCGUAAAGGGCGUGUAGGCGGUCUGGGGCGUCCCAUGUGAAAGACCACGGCUCAACCGUGGGGGAGCGUGGGAUACGCUCAGGCUAGACGGUGGGAGAGGGUGGUGGAAUUCCCGGAGUAGCGGUGAAAUGCGCAAAUACCGGGAGGAACGCCGAUGGCGAAGGCAGCCACCUGGUCCACCCGUGACGCUGAGGCGCGAAAGCGUGGGGAGCAAACCGGAUUAGAUACCCGAGUAGUCC
RNAcentral lists this ribosomal RNA (446 nucleotides) under uncultured bacterium. Its description in RNAcentral is "bacterial SSU rRNA". It matches the Rfam family "Bacterial small subunit ribosomal RNA", at positions 346 to 796 of the family's 1533-position model. The record is from RNAcentral.